Molecule: ribosomal RNA, 435 nt
Filed under: uncultured fungus
Lineage: Eukaryota; Fungi
Description: eukaryotic LSU rRNA
Rfam family: Eukaryotic large subunit ribosomal RNA
Source: RNAcentral
GACCUCAGAUCGGGUGGGACUACCCGCUGAACUUAAGCAUAUCAAUAAGCGGAGGAAAAGAAACUAACAAGGAUUCCCCUAGUAACGGCGAGUGAAGAGGGAAAAGCUCAAAUUUUGAAUCUGGUGUCUUUGGCGCCCGAGUUGUAAUCUAGAGAAGUGUUUUCUGCCUCGGACCACACAUAAAUUCCCUGGAAUGGGGUGUCAUAGAGGGUGAGAAUCCCGUUUGUGGUGUGGACUACCUUGGCUCUGUGAUACACUCUCAACGAGUCGAGUUGUUUGGGAAUGCAGCUCAAAAUGGGUGGUAAAUUCCAUCUAAAGCUAAAUACUGGCGAGAGACCGAUAGCGAACAAGUACCGUGAGGGAAAGAUGAAAAGCACUUUGGAAAGAGAGUGAAACAGUACGUGAAAUUGUUGAAAGGGAAGCGUUUGAAGUCAG